Molecule: ribosomal RNA, 613 nt
Filed under: uncultured bacterium
Lineage: Bacteria
Description: bacterial SSU rRNA
Rfam family: Bacterial small subunit ribosomal RNA
Source: RNAcentral
CCUACGGGAGGCAGCAGUGAGGAAUAUUGGUCAAUGGGCGCAAGCCUGAACCAGCCAUGCCGCGUGCAGGAAGAAUGCCCUCUGGGUUGUAAACUGCUUUUAUUUGGGAAUAAACCUUUUACGUGUAGAAAGCUGAAGGUACCAAAUGAAUAAGCACCGGCUAACUCCGUGCCAGCAGCCGCGGUAAUACGGAGGGUGCAAGCGUUAUCCGGAAUCAUUGGGUUUAAAGGGUCCGCAGGCGGAUUUAUAGGUCAGUGGUGAAAUCUCUCGGCUUAACCGAGAAACUGCCAUUGAUACUGUAAGUCUUGAAUUCGGUCGAAGUGGGCGGAAUGUGUAGUGUAGCGGUGAAAUGCAUAGAUAUUACACAGAACACCGAUAGCGAAGGCAGCUCACUAGGCCUGGAUUGACGCUCAGGGACGAAAGCGUGGGGAUCAAACAGGAUUAGAUACCCUGGUAGUCCACGCUGUAAACGAUGAUUACUCGUUUUCGGCGAUAUACAGUCGGAGACUAAGCGAAAGUGAUAAGUAAAUCCACCUGGGGAGUACGAAUCGCAAGGUUGAAACUUCAAAANAGAGUUAGAGCGNGAGAGNGCGAGACGACACGAGGGAGGAGG